Molecule: long non-coding RNA, 895 nt
Filed under: Gallus gallus (chicken)
Lineage: Eukaryota; Metazoa; Chordata; Aves; Galliformes; Phasianidae
Description: lncRNA (ENSGALG00010011642.1)
Source: RNAcentral
UGCUUCCGUGAGGGUCUGAGGUGAGCCCUUCUGUAUGGGAGGGUUGCAAUCUCCUCCUUUAUUGGGGGAUCCUGGCCACAUUUUGAGGCUGGCAACCAUCUGUACCUGAAAACUGCUUCUUUGGGAGUGUGGGUGGCAGCAGAAAGCCAUGGUGCUCCCAAGUACUGUAAGGACUGCAUGGAGAGAUGUGCGGGUCUUCAUGGGAACAGCAAGGAACUGAAAGCUGCAUUUCCUGGGAUGCCCUGGAACCCCACUUUGCUGACUGGUAACUGUCUGCCCGGCAGGUGGCAGCAGAAAGCUGUGGUGCUCCCGAGUGCUGUAAUGACUGCACGGCGAGAUGUGCGGGUCUUCAUGGGAACAGCAAGGAACUGAAAGCUGCAUUUCCUGGGAUGCCCUGGAACCCCACUUUGCUGACUGGUAACUGUCUGCCCGGCAGGCAGGUCUUCAAUGACGAUAUUGGACAGAACAGGCCUGAAGAGCACUCAGGAUGGCAUACCAGCUGCAUUUAACACGAUUGAGCAGCACUCAUUAGGCCAGGCAGUUCAGCUAGUUCUUCAUCUAGCAAGCAAUGUACCCGUCCAAGUAGCCGGCUGCAAUCUUUCAGAGAAUUUUAAGGGAUAGCACAUCAAAGGGUUUGCCUCACUCAUGGGGUUGGGUCACCUUUGCUUUGAGUUUGCUACCGUGGCUGACCCUAAUCCUGUAACUGACAUCCUGUAGCUGGACAGAGACCAUUCACACUCCAUCCAGGCUGUUUGAGACUCACAGCCAUGCUGAGAGUCACACUGAUUUCAGCGUGUGCAGUCAUUUUGCAUCAACCCAAUUGGCUUUAGCUUUACAAAUAAUUUGAUCUCAACCAAAUUGGCUUUAGCUUUGCAGUUAAUGCAUUGCAAAUAAG